This 253-nucleotide ribosomal RNA is filed under the name uncultured bacterium. RNAcentral describes it as "partial 16S ribosomal RNA". It matches the Rfam family "Bacterial small subunit ribosomal RNA", at positions 524 to 776 of the family's 1533-position model. The record is from RNAcentral.
UACGUAGGAGGCAAGCGUUGUCCGGAAUUACUGGGUGUAAAGCGCGUGUAGGCGGCAGGCCAAGUCUGUGGUGAAAUCGCUCGGCUCAACUGGGCGGGGUCCAUGGAAACUGGUCAGCUGGAGGACGGUAGAGGUGAGUGGAAUUCCCGGUGGAGCGGUGAAAUGCGUAGAUAUCGGGAGGAACGCCGGUGACGAAAGCGACUGUCUGGGGUGCCUGUGACGCUGAGGCGCGAAAGCCAGGGGAUCAAACGGG